UACGGAGGGUGCGAGCGUUGUCCGGAAUCACUGGGCGUAAAGGGCGCGUAGGCGGCUCAUGAAGGCUGUGGUGAAAGUCCGGGGCUCAACCUCGGAUCGGCCGUGGCGACUCGUGGGCUGGAGCACUGUAGAGGCGGGUGGAAUUCCGGGUGUAGCGGUGGAAUGCGCAGAUAUCAGGAGGAACACCGAUGGCGAAGGCAGAUCUCUGGGCCGUAACUGACGCUGAGGAGCGAAAGCAUGGGGAGCGAACAGG
Molecule: ribosomal RNA, 253 nt
Filed under: uncultured bacterium
Lineage: Bacteria
Description: partial 16S ribosomal RNA
Rfam family: Bacterial small subunit ribosomal RNA
Source: RNAcentral